CAGCCGCCGCGGUAAUACGUAGGUAGCAAGCGUUGUCCGGAAUUAUUGGGCGUAAAGCGCGCGCAGGCGGUUCCUUAAGUCUGAUGUGAAAUCUUGCGGCUCAACCGUGAGCGGUCAUUGGAAACUGGGGAACUUGAGUGCAGGAGAGAAGAGCGGAAUUCCACGUGUAGCGGUGAAAUGCGUAGAGAUGUGGAGGAACACCAGUGGCGAAGGCGGCUCUUUGGCCUGUAACUGACGCUGAGGCGCGAAAGCGUGGGGAGCAAACAGGAUUAGAUACCCUGGUAGUCCACGCCGUAAACGAUGAGUGCUAGGUGUUAGAGGGUUUCCGCCCUUUAGUGCUGCAGCUAACGCAUUAAGCACUCCGCCUGGGGAGUACGGCCGCAAGGCUGAAACUUAAAGGAAUUGGCGGG
RNAcentral lists this ribosomal RNA (410 nucleotides) under uncultured microorganism. RNAcentral describes it as "bacterial SSU rRNA". It matches the Rfam family "Bacterial small subunit ribosomal RNA", at positions 509 to 917 of the family's 1533-position model. The record is from RNAcentral.